GACGAACGCUGGCGGCGUGCUUAACACAUGCAAGUCGAACGGAAAGGCCCUGCUUUUGUGGGGUGCUCGAGUGGCGAACGGGUGAGUAACACGUGAGUAACCUGCCCUUGACUUUGGGAUAACUUCAGGAAACUGGGGCUAAUACCGGAUAGGAGCUCCUGCUGCAUGGUGGGGGUUGGAAAGUUUCGGCGGUUGGGGAUGGACUCGCGGCUUAUCAGCUUGUUGGUGGGGUAGUGGCUUACCAAGGCUUUGACGGGUAGCCGGCCUGAGAGGGUGACCGGCCACAUUGGGAAGGAGAUACGGCCCAGACUCCUAGGGGGGGCAGGAGGGGGGAAUAUUGCACAAUGGGCGGAAGCCUGAUGCAGCAACGCCGGGUGCGGGAUGACGGCCUUCGGGUGGUAAACCGCUUUCGCCUGGGACGAAGGGUGGGUGACGGUAAUGGGUAAAGAAGCACCGGCUAACUACGU
Molecule: ribosomal RNA, 467 nt
Filed under: uncultured bacterium
Lineage: Bacteria
Description: partial 16S ribosomal RNA
Rfam family: Bacterial small subunit ribosomal RNA
Source: RNAcentral